Arabidopsis thaliana (thale cress) is the source of this 1247-nucleotide long non-coding RNA. RefSeq annotates it as other RNA. The record is from RefSeq. Lineage: Eukaryota; Viridiplantae; Streptophyta; Magnoliopsida; Brassicales; Brassicaceae. The transcript is spliced from 4 exons.
CAAAAAGAAAAAGGACUUGAAUCAUGGGGAAAGAAUUCUCAGCAUUUGGGCAAGUCUGCAGGAGGAGGAAGAAGUUUCUGAUCAGGUUUAUCUCCAUCAAGAACAAGCCAAGCCAUCCUCAGACCCCAACUGUGUUUCUCUUACCUGGGUUAUCUGCAAGGAAUCGAAUAGCAGCCCAUCCACCAGAUGGCACACCGACUGUGUUCCUCUCUAUUGGGUCAACAAGGUUGAAGUUUCUAGGAUCCUUGUUCGGGUCGAAAUUCCCAAACCCUUGGCCAACAACAAAGAAGUUGAACCCAUGAAGAUGAAGAGGAUGGCUUUCUGCGCCAAGAAUGCUAGUGUCUUGCAUCACCAACUCCACACUGGUGUUAUAAGGUUGAGGAAGAAGAAGAACACAAGAGAAUACAGCUAGGAGUAGCUGUAACGCCAUUGAAGUGAGCUUGGACACGGAGGCGUUGUUUAGAGCAGGUAAGUUUUCUGAAGACUCUGCCUCGCUUAUGUUUUGCUGUAGAUUGUGGAUUCAUUGUUUUCAACCUUUAGUGUAUAUAUAGGAAAGGAGAGUUAGGUGUUUGCUUGAGCAGGAGAUAUAGAAAAAACAAUUAGUAAAAUGUUUAUGAAAAACAAAAAGAUAAUUGGUAGAGAAGUACUCUCCGUAAUUUGGAGACACUUGAUAUUGACUAGUUGUUAGAUUAUAUGAACAGCUAAUGUAUGAGUGGUGUCAAAGAUAAGUCAAACUCUUUGACCCUCUUCGAAAACUCUUUGUUUCCAUCUCAAUACUAUGGCGUAGAUUCUAAAUAUGAAAUGCAAGAUUGCCAAUUUUGGUUUCUCAGAUAUGACAGUUCCUCUUCCAUGUUCUGCUUCUUUGACAGCUUUGAGUAUAUUAGACUUCAAAUUUUAACAUGAGAUAGUAAGGAACUUAGGACCAGAUGUAGAAGAUUAAUAAUAUAGUUUGAUUUGUUCCCUGGCCAAGUUUUGUUUAGACCCAACAAAAACAACUCUUGGAGACUUCUUGAUCGACCAAAAGAGUCUGAAGCAGAACUCUAGGAAACUUCUCUGGUGGGGAACUUAAGAGAUAAACCGAUGUGGAGUUAGUCAAAACAUUCGUAAGCUAAAAUUGCUUGGGGAAUAAGCAAAGAGAGGGAGAUUGUAGCUAUCAAAGAAGGUCACGAUUAGGGUUAGAUAUCAAAAUCCAUGAAGGGAAUUUCCGAAAUUUUUAUUCUUUUUGAUAAGAACAUUGAGGAAACCUC